Molecule: ribosomal RNA, 253 nt
Filed under: uncultured bacterium
Lineage: Bacteria
Description: partial 16S ribosomal RNA
Rfam family: Bacterial small subunit ribosomal RNA
Source: RNAcentral
UACGUAGGGGGCAAGCGUUAUCUGGAUUUACUGGGUGUAAAGGGAGCGUAGACGGCAUAGCAAGUCUGAAGUGAAAGCCCGUGGCUCAACCGCGGAACUGCUUUGGAAACUGUUAAGCUGGAGUACUGGAGAGGCAAGCGGAAUUCCUAGUGUAGCGGUGAAAUGCGUAGAUAUUAGGAGGAACACCAGUGGCGAAGGCGGCUUGCUGGACAGAGACUGACGUUGAGGCUCGAAAGCGUGGGGAGCAAACAGG